This 69-nucleotide transfer RNA is filed under the name Narcine timlei (blackspotted numbfish). RNAcentral's name for it is "tRNA-Asp". It matches the Rfam family "tRNA". Rfam says of the family: Transfer RNA (tRNA) molecules are approximately 80 nucleotides in length. Their secondary structure includes four short double-helical elements and three loops (D, anti-codon, and T loops). Further hydrogen bonds mediate the characteristic L-shaped molecular structure. tRNAs have two regions of fundamental functional importance: the anti-codon, which is responsible for specific mRNA codon recognition, and the 3' end, to which the tRNAs corresponding amino acid is attached (by aminoacyl-tRNA synthetases). tRNAs cope with the degeneracy of the genetic code in two manners: having more than one tRNA (with a specific anti-codon) for a particular amino acid; and 'wobble' base-pairing, i.e. permitting non-standard base-pairing at the 3rd anti-codon position. The record is from RNAcentral. Lineage: Eukaryota; Metazoa; Chordata; Chondrichthyes; Torpediniformes; Narcinidae.
AAGAUUCUAGUAUAAAAAAAACAAAGUCUUGUCAAGACUUAAAUGUGAGUUUAAAUCUCACGAAUCUUA